This is an RNA transcript of Stegostoma tigrinum, 9093 nucleotides long. It is a transcript of the gene named adherens junctions associated protein 1, with no coding region annotated. Lineage: Eukaryota; Metazoa; Chordata; Chondrichthyes; Orectolobiformes; Stegostomatidae. The transcript is spliced from 6 exons. The record is from RefSeq and is a predicted model, not a curated record.
UUUCUCAGUCCCUGGGAAUGCUCAUCAUUACAUUGGGCGGCUCUGGAAGCCGGGCAUACGGAAGCAGGCUGCUCCAAAACAUUGCCGGCUCACUUCUCGUGCGUCCUGAUUUCUCUUCCUCUCCAGUUUUGAUCUCACCUUCUGUCAUCGGUGUCAAGACAGACUCCAGCCAGGUUUGGGGAAAUCUGUAUCAUUUCCAGGCAAUGGGCAGAGAAGGAACAGCGCUUUGGGAAUUACUUGUUUAAGAAUGAAUACCAGGCGUCUCCUGCGAAGCUUGACAUGGGAUCUUAAUAUUCUUUGAAACUGUCUGGGACAGAAAAAAUGGUCUCUCUCCCUUUGGGUUGCAAAGACACGGCUGUAUGAGAAGCGAAUGCUAACGGUAUUCACCAUGUUGCUAAAACGUUUGUGCCCAAUGCCUGUCAAUAUAUUUGGACGACCUGUUGGGUGCCAUGCCUGGGUAUUGCUUGCCAUCUUUCAUCUAGCCAUGGAUUUCUCUUCUUGUGAAUCACAGAUUCAGGGUCAGGGGCUCAGCCAGAAUUCAGAGUCGCUCCAUCCAUCGCCACAUCAUAGACUUACCACUGGCCCUCUCUGGGUGUACAAAGAUGCCCAUGUUGGGAGAAUUACAAAAUCUUGGUGGCUCAGAAGGAUUUGGCCUGAAAUCCAUUCUAGAAAGCAAAUAUCAAACAAGCCAACAGGAGUUCACAAACUCAAGUCAAACACAGGUACCCUGUGUACCAACUGUCAAUCCAAACAAUCUAUGUCUUACAAAUUGGACCCUUCAGUCUCUACGGAGAUUAGGGAUUCGGUAAAAUUGACCUCUUUGAAAAGGUCAAGAAGGCAGAGUGAUCAUUUUCCAUUUGAGAAUUUUGAAAAACCCAAAUGCACUUCCUAUGACAGUGAAGGAACAGUGACUGUGAUACCAUGCGCCAUUGAAUGGGGGCCCACUAAAGAGGACCUCACAGAGUUCAGCAUGUUUUCGACUCCGACAAGUCUAUCCACCACUACGUUGACCCUGGUGCCCUCUACGAGAGUGACAACUGCCAGGACCACCCCCACCACCACCACAGCCAGCACGACAUCCACCACUAUGCAAACCACCACAGCCACACUCAGGAGCCCGAAGAUGGUAAUGCCUGAGCCACGCACAACAGAGCCGAAUCUCAGCUGGGAGCUUCGCAACACAGCCAGGCCAUCCCGCAUUGGAGAUACUGGAGGUUUGGCUGUUCACCAGAUCAUCACCAUCACAGUCUCCCUCAUCAUGGUUGUUGCUGCAUUGAUCACAACAUUGGUUUUAAAAAAUUGCUGUGCGGAAAAUGGGAACGGACAUCGGAAUAGUCACCAACGGAAGAUCAACCAACAAGAGGAGAGUUGCCAAAAUCUCACUGAUUUCACCGCUGCACGAGUGCCGAGCAACCUGGAUAUAUUCACUGCAUACAACGAGACCCUUCAGUGCUCCCACGAGUGUGUGCGUGCAUCAAUGCCAGUCUAUGCUGACCAAGGCCUACACCCAACCACUGUUUAUAAAACCACCUUCAAUGGAAACCGAACACCCCCACCUGAACGGCAGCUAAUCCCAGUGCCCUUCGUAUCGGAGAAAUGGUUUGAAAUCUCCUGCUGACUGGUCGAAGGCUCUUACUCCUUGGGGCGGGCAGACAUCACCUUUCUUACUCUUGGAUUCCACUGGUGAAUCUGUAAAAAAAACAAAGAUGUCAACACUUUUUUGCACACCCGUGGGGCAGGGAGUGAACAGAACCCCUUGUUUAUUUUUUUUAAAUGAGAAUGUCUAUAAAAUAGCAUUAUUUUAUGAAGAAGCUGGAGAAAAUAAGGAAAGGCUGCCGAAGGAUUGAACCUUUUUACCAGAACUGGAAGGGGGACCAGCGUCACGGGUGAAGAGAAAAUGACAGCAGUCAAAUUUCGACAAGAUUUGACGACUUUUCAGAAGUGUCUAUAGUGGGGAUAAAAUCUCAUAAACUGGGAUCCACUGCCAACAGUGCCAUUAGAUGCCACGUACUUAGAGACUACAGGCUGGUAUGAUCCACGAACAGAACUAAACUCUUGAAUCAUUUAAUAUUUUUUGUCUGAGAGAAAUAGUAUUGUUUCUUUCUGAAAACAGGACCUACUCAAAGCCAACAGUUCCUAAAGUGGUGUUUGUUGCUUAAGACUGAGACUUGAGGCAAUGGUGAGAAAUAGGAAUGCAGCAAGUUCCAUUUAAAACCAGAGUGUAUAUUCUGUUUAAUGCACUUAACCCUAUAGAUGAUCACAUUUGCAGUUUCCUUUCUAAUUCCCUCUUUAUUCCCGAGUUCACCCACAGUUUCAAAAAUAUUGAGCCUGUGGACAGAGGAGGAGGAGGAUAACCAGCAUCCUGGACUUGCAUUCUCCUCCCUAUUCAACCUUCUCCUCACCUCAGCAUAAACAUUCUAGAUUGGAGCAUCACCUAUAAUUUUGCAUAAAGACAUUGUUGAGCAAAGUUACUAUGACAACAGGCUUGCUCUGGAAGCGCAUUAGAAACAACGCAAUCGACCAAGACACUUUACUGCUCGUGAACCCCAAUACUAUUAAAUCACUAAUUUAAAACAACUGAGGGAAUCAGUGAAUUUCCAUUCCACUCAACAAAGCUUAAUGUUUACUGGAUGAAAUAAAGUAAAUGCAUAUGGUUAAAUAAAAUUUUCUGAAUUUGUCACCAAUUUGGCUUCUGGUAAAAGAUCAAGAACAAAUAAGCUGUCAACCAUUUUAAAAUGCAUCUUGUUAAACAAACUGUACACUCAAAUGUGGAACCUGUGUAACCGAUUGUGUUCUCACAUUACCUUGCUGAUUUUACCAAGCCGACAAAAUGGCAGAGAAUUUUAAUCCUCUAAGGAGCAACAGACUUUUAUAAUUUCUACAAAACUGUUUUCUGUCAUUUUUUUUCCUUAAAAUGGUGUUGUGCAAAUACUUAGAGCUAUGAACACGGAAAUCAAAGCAUCAAGCACACAGGACAAGGAUCUAUGUGUGGCCAAUGUUGACUGAAUAACACGCGCUUUGCAUUGUUUUUGUAGUACACCGAUGCUGUUUAUUGUCUUUGAAAUGGUUCAUAGCCAAUGACAACUGUGUUUUUUUUAGACUACAUGAAUAUAUCAUUUUAAAUUAUACUGUAUAAUAAAAUGAAUUUCAGUUCAGCUACAGGAAGCAUCUAGAAAGGAAUAAGUGGAGCAUAACCAUGGACAGAACUCAUGUUUUCUAAAUGACGUCUCAUUAAACUAUCAAAACCAGUUCAACCUCUUGGAAUUGGGUUUAACCCGAGGGCCUGCAAGCAUUUUCUUUAGAUCUUUUCUCUCUUCUGACUUAUUCCUUUCCAUCCCAAAAGACAUUAUAUCUCCAAGACAACCAUCAACCACCUCCAUGACCUCACCCAAGACCCCAAAUUGAUGCAUCAACAGGCCAUGUAAAACUAGGGACAGUAGUCUUGUUCUUGCUCAACCCCCACUCUACACAUUGUAGACAUUUUGAUAGUGGAAGUGCUGGCUAAAACGUUUGUACCUGCCUAAGCAUAUAAGGGGCUGAUGCCAACAGAAAGAAAGUGGAAAUCUGGAAUUUUCUUCCCCCCCCCCACCACAAAAGAUUGCCCAGUUGAACAUGUCAAAUCUAAGAUUUCAAGAUUCUUGUUAGACAAGGCUAUUGGUUGUAAAAUGUGUUAAAUGUGUACAACAUUUGAGAUCCUUAGACACUAUUGGCAAUUCAACCCUUAACGUCAUGUAAAACACUCAGAAAUUGCCCUCACUUUAUCACCAUGAACUGCUACCAGUAAAAAGCACAAAUUGGAGUACUGUGGGCAACAGCCAUUUCCAGUAGUCUCUAAGGAACAGAAACAGAAGCUUCUGGAAAAGCUCAGCAGGUCUGGCAGCAGCUGUGAAGAGAAAUCAGAGUUAACGUUUUGGGUCUGGUGACCCUUCCUCAGAACUCUGUUGUCCUUAGUUGCAAGCUGAACUCUUGUGGACACACAGUUACAAUAAAGUUAAAUUUGCUAAACUUGGGGAUAGUUUUGACCAAAAUAAAUCAAGCAGAACAGGAAGUCCUCUGGCUAGGAAUCUGAAGAUGUAAAAAUUAUGAGAGGUAUUAGCAUCAUAACAGAUCUGAUUCCAAUCAACCUUUGUAAGGCUGGGAAGCAAGUUUGCAACCACUAUCCUUAAACUUCUGAUAUGGACCUGGAGCACCUAUACACACACCCAUCUUGUACGAUGCAUGAACAGCAUUGAUACCAUCCUGCUGAUAUUGCUAUCAACUCUAAAGGCAUUUAACUCUAAACAUCGGUAUUUGAAACUUACAAUCGAACACAAAUCAAAUGUUUCAAAGAUAAGCACACUGAGGUGGGAAAUACAAUGUCUGCAACAAAUAAUUUCUUUCAGGGAGAAAAUUUGGCUCCAAUACAAGCCUACAGUAAUCUACACCUGCUCAUGGUAGAAGUUUGAAAACCUAUGACAUCGUGUUUCAUCUCAGAGUUUGCUGUUUCUUUAUUAGAAACACAUUCCCACACAAGCUUAGAAGGAGAUACUCAGAUGAUUAAUUAUUUGCCAUCCCAGUGAGUCAUCAUGCUGUGAGAGAAGCUGUUUCAGACAGGAAUCAGAAGGAUCUUUUUUAAUUGAAUAAAAUAUUGUGGCAUUUCGGUGAACGGACCCCCCCCCCCACCUUUGCCUCAACUUAUGACUCAGUGAUUACGGCCAGAGUGUUGCCAUGGGACAGACAUAGAGAUGAUUCAGGUUCAGUUGUUUUUUAUGAAGUGGGUAGAGAUGCUAUCAUAUGAGAGUUCAUGUAGCAUAGUGGUAGUGCCUCUACCUCUGAGUCAGGAGACCUGGGUUCAAGUCCUAUGUCCUUCAGUGAUGUGGACUAAUAUCUCUGAACAGGUUGAUUGGGAAAAUGUCAAGGGGGCUAUAAAUUGCUCAGUAGCCUCUGAGGUCAGGUAGGGAGAGCUGAUUGCUGCUUAACAGUGAAAACAAAAAUAAUGCUGGGUAUCACAGUGGGUCGGGCACAAUCUGUGGAGAGAGUAAGCUAACAUUUCGUGUCUAUAUUAUUGUUUAUCAGAACUGACAUGAAGUGUGGAGCAUAUAUAAGUGAGCAGCAUAUAUGCAACAGAGAUAAUGGGAACUGCAGAUGCUGGAGAAUUCAAGAUAAUAAAGUGUGAACCUGGAUGAACACAUCAGGCCAAGCAGCUGGCCUGCCCUUCAUCAUCUGAUGAAGGGUCUAGGCCCGAAACAUCAGCUUUCGUGUUCCUGAGAUGCUGCUUGGCCUACUGUGUUCAUCCAGCUUCACACUUUAUUAUCUAGCAUAUAUGCAACAGUUGGGGGGCAUGGGUGCAGUGCUGGUGGAGAAAGGCUAUUGAUAGAUUAAGUGAUCAGAAUGUGAGAAUGGCAGACUAAUGGUGUGCCUAAUACCAAGAUGGAAAGAAAAGACAGCCCCACAGUGUUGUGGGUAUGGGAGAGAGGACAUUGUGAGAGAGGAUGCAACAAGUAAAGUUAGAAGAAAGGGAAGGAAUCGGAGUCGGUUCACAAUCUGAAAGUGUUGAACUGAGUGUUAAAUCCAGAAGGUUACAAAGUGCCUAGCCCGAAGAUGAGAUGUUGUUCCUUUAGUUUACACUGUGGUUUGCUGGAACAUUGCAGCAUGCCAAGGGCACAUUUGCUUCUAUGUUCUGUUCAGCAGUUCUCUGUUGGAAGUUGACAUGUGGACGUGCUUAGGUUUGAUCAGGUUAAUCGUAGCUACAAUCCAUUAUAAUUAGAUGGCUGGCCUCAUACAGCCAUUACCAUUUAAGGAUGGCACCGAAGAGUACUCUGGACAUUGGAAUGAGUCAAGUGAGUAAGUCGCCUUGGGAGGAGUAAAAGUUAGUGAUAACCAAAAUUGACCAUUAUUUCAGCUUUUACCCUAUGGCCACUGUGAAACUCAUGCAAGCUUUGUCAUAAUGAUUGAAGAUUUUCCAUGAUGCUUCACCUAUUCCCAAGUGGAAAAGCCACGGAAAUCCUUAAAAAUUCCAUCCAUGCCCUUGAUAUUUUUUUUUGCUUCCUGCAGCCCCUUCCAGAGAUGUUUUUGCAGGCAAACAGAACAGCUACAUUAGAGAUUCACCCCUAUGUGUUCUGGCUUUAUUGCUGAUGAAAAACAUCGGUGUAUUGCUUUCAGUGAUUAGAAAUGCAAAUGUUACUUUCAAACCGCAUUCUCCUGUGCCGUUUUUGAGCUGAUGCCUUUAUUGACGCUGCACAUAAAUUCUAUCAAUGUUAGAACAUUACACCACACUUUGAACAUUUGCAGAUUUGAAGUUUCAGUUGAAAAAGACUGCCAUACCCCUGCCACCUAUCAUCAUGAACAUCCCUCUGCUCCUCAGAUAUAUAUUUUGCAUCAAAAAAUGCCAAAGAAAGGAGUGUGGCUUUUGACCACAAUCACUCCCUUUUUUUUAUGUUUUGGAGAUUUUUGGUGAAGGGGUAGAGAUUGCAGUGCAGGAAAAUGGCUUGGCUGACAAAAGCUGGAGAUUGAGUGAGGGUCAACCAAAAUAAAAGUGUCUAGAUGACACCAAAUUUGGAUUUUGGUGUCUUGAACUUGGGAAGAAGCCGGAUUCAUAAGUCAAUCUGUUCAUUAAGGUUUCACUCAUGCACACCUGACUGGGGCCUUUGCAAUUCCAAUUGACAAAGUGUCAUUGUAGCAAGCAUCACAAAACAGACUUGACUUUUUUUAAUAUACGCUAACAUGUAAAUUCAUUAACACAAUUAUUGGAUGAAGUGUUUACGGGCAAGUGCGCUUUUUGUAUAACUCACCACUUUCAAAGAUUUUAUUUCAACCCUUUGCUGUAUGGGUGUCCCCAUUCACUUUCACAUCCUUUAGGUAUUUUGUCACCCCACCUCCAGUGCAAGAGCCCAGGAAACAUCUUUUGUAGAUGCCUGUAAACAGGUUCUUUUUGGGAACUAGGACUUAUAUUUUCCAUUAAUUGCCUGGGCAAUUGAUUGUAAUGAACUUGUCGCUUAAUUGUAAAGGAGUUGGGGUGAUCUCCAUUUUCCCCCUUCCCCCAUCCAAUUUACCCCCUCCCCCCAGGCAAAAUUGAGAAACUAAUCCAAUACUUUAUAACCGAAGAAGAAUAUAAUAGUGUGAUAUUUGAACAUAAAAGCUAUGGACUUUGAACUUAACCUUGAUGAUCUCUUUGCUCUUAUUUUGUUCAAUGCAAAUUAAUAUAAUAAUAGAUAUACUUUUCAAUCUAUCCAACCCACUUCAGUUCUGAUCCAAGGCAAAGCCAUCAAUUGUGUCCUGGAAGCUAUUUUCUUUUAGCAUGGAAACCCAGGGUUCCAAGUCUUAGAAUGUCUUCCUUAUAUCGUUAUAAAGGAUAUUGAUAAUGAAAAUGGAAUUUGCAAAGGUAGCAUCUCUCCCUAAUUAAAUCUGAUGGAACCCCUUGAGAGUUAACAAUGGAUCUGCAGCUCAAGGCAUUAGUUAUCAUUGUACUGAUGUAGUCAGCCUAUUACUGAGAUUAGGAAAGAAAAGACUGGCGUGAAGAGUUUGUUCAGGACUUGGAAAGCAUUCACUUCCCGUGUUGUUUUACUAAGGUUGCAGGUGUAUACACAUGUAAUGCACUGAUAUCUCUCAAGGUCACUGGAUAAAGAGGUGGCAUAGUGACACAGUGCUAAAAUUGGGGAGUUUGAUUAAACAGAUUGCUGCUCACACUGGACAAUCCUUAAUGUUGAGGAGACCAACACUCUGGAUGCACACACAUCAUUAUGCAAAAUAGCUGACUCACUGCACAAUCUUUUAUGCAAGGGAAUCUCUCUCGCUUGGACAGUCCAUUCUACAGUUUCGUCCCUCCAACUGGAAAAUGCAUUUCACAAUGAGUCUGAUUUACUGCAUCAUUCCCAGGUGAUUGCUCUGACUGGAUAAGGUGCUGUAACAAAAGUGGCCAGUCCACUGGGAGUUCCUUAGACUGAAGAGUGUGUUGCACAGGGUUCGACAUUUCAAAGGGACUCCACAGUGUAUAGAUGCUGCUCAAAGCCAAUUUGCAGACUAAAUUACCCAGGGAAUUGGACAAUGAUAUUCUGAGAUUACUCACUCAAUUGUGGAUGUCAAUAACUAUGAGUAUAAUUGCUUGGGAAAAGCUAGAAGGAAAUAGUGCUACUAUACAGAAUCACAGGUUAUAGAGCUGGAAAAACAUGGUCACAACUUGGGCUGAAAUGAGUUCAGAAAAUUUCCAAUGUAACAGUAAAUCAAACAAUAUCCAUGGGGUUUAGUUGCUUUGACAGUAAAUAUUGCUUAACAUUGUAUUAACGAAAAAGAAUCAAUUAUUUUCCCAAAUUGUAUGGAACAACAUUUUCACACUAUCACUGAAUACCUCUCCUGCAUUUUACAACUAUAAUGUGUGAUUCUAAACGCAGUUUUAAAGUAUUGUGCCAGCUAAUUAAUACUUGUUUUAUCCUUAUAGUAUACAAAAGUAAUAGGCUUAGUGUAAAACAUGGCCUAUAAAUUGCAUCUUCAAUCUGAUUUUGUCUUCUGAAAGUAACGAGUAAAUUACACACUCAGCCAACUUUUAGAUUUUUUUUACUUAAAUGGAACACAGUAAUCUGUAAGAUUAGAGAUUACCAGCAGUAACACUUUCAUUGUGUUCACAUCAGGUGGAUUUGUUUGCUAGUUUAAAUUAAGGCUCUGUCCAAUUUUAAAGGCAAACCCCUCUGUCCACUAUGAUAACAGUCCCAGAUGUUUUUGAAAUAGUGUGGAGAGGAAAUAUGAGUGGAUGCACAUAUAAUAAGAGCAGGCAAUCUCUACUGUUACAGAAAGUGGUUUAUCUAAAUGUACAAAUAAAUUGAGCAGUAAUAAUUGGCGAGGAAGAAACCUUUGCUGUCUACAUCUUUUGUAUUGAAAUCAGCAGCACUUUUUGGUGAGAGAGAGAGAAAAAAAUAUAUAUAUGCAUAUAUAUACAUCUUCCAGUGGGAGCAAAAGUACAUCUUUUUUCUUAAGAAAACAGUUUCAUUGGGGAAUGGAUUCUAUUUUGUCACUGCUGUAAUUCUGAACUGUGUGUUUUGAAUGCACUGUAAACGCAACCUGUAACAAUUCUCUUGUGUAAGUUUAGUACUCUGAUGUUGCUAUUAAACCUGUUUAACAACA